RNAcentral lists this long non-coding RNA (270 nucleotides) under Hordeum vulgare. Its description in RNAcentral is "long non-coding RNA (HVUL_LNC013614)". Lineage: Eukaryota; Viridiplantae; Streptophyta; Magnoliopsida; Poales; Poaceae. The record is from RNAcentral.
AGUAGUUUUAGUUAGGUUAGUUAGUUAGCUUGGUUACUUAGGUGGAGGAGGAGAAGAGGAGAAGAGGAGGAGGAGGAGGACGAGAAGAGGAGAAGAAGAAGAGGAGUAGGAGGAGGAGGGGGAGGAGAAGAAGAAGAAGAAGAAGAAGAAGAAGAAGAAGAAGAAGAAGAAGAAGAAGAGAAGAAAAAAAUAAGAAGGAGAAGAAGAAGAAGAAGAAAUAAGAAGGAGAAGAAGUAAAGAAGAAGAGAAGAAGAAGAGAAGAAGAGAAUA